GAUGAACGCUAGCUACAGGCUUAACACAUGCAAGUCGAGGGGUAGCAGGGUAGCAAUACCGCUGACGACCGGCGCACGGGUGAGUAACACGUAUCCAACCUUCCCAUAACUCGGGGAUAGCCUUUCGAAAGAAAGAUUAAUACCCGAUAGUACUUUUUCAAGGCAUCUUGAGAAAGUUAAAGAUUUAUUGGUUAUGGAUGGGGAUGCGUUCCAUUAGAUAGUUGGUGAGGUAACGGCCCACCAAGUCUUCGAUGGAUAGGGGUUCUGAGAGGAAGGUCCCCCACAUUGGAACUGAGACACGGACCAAACUCCUACGGGAGGCAGCAGUGAGGAAUAUUGGUCAAUGGGCGAGAGCCUGAACCAGCCAAGUAGCGUGAAGGAUGAAGGUCCUAUGGAUUGUAAACUUCUUUUAUAGUAGAAUAAAGUGAUCCACGUGUGGAUUUUUGUAUGUAUACUAUGAAUAAGGAUCGGCUAACUCCGUGCCAGCAGCCGCGGUAA
This 498-nucleotide ribosomal RNA is filed under the name uncultured bacterium. RNAcentral's name for it is "partial 16S ribosomal RNA". It matches the Rfam family "Bacterial small subunit ribosomal RNA", at positions 28 to 523 of the family's 1533-position model. The record is from RNAcentral.